Long non-coding RNA from Grus americana (Whooping crane), 340 nucleotides. RefSeq lists it as uncharacterized. The record is from RefSeq and is a predicted model, not a curated record. The transcript is spliced from 3 exons. Lineage: Eukaryota; Metazoa; Chordata; Aves; Gruiformes; Gruidae.
ACAAGAUACUGUUGUGAUCUCAAGAGAGAGGAACGAGCAUUCAGAUGGAGAUGUAAAAUGGAGAAAAUGCCACGGGGUCAGUCACCCUGCUCCUGUGAUCAGAACAAAAGCGGGCAGUAACUGAAAGUUUCAUGAAAAAGGGACCAGAGUCAAGACAACCAGGAUCAGUCUUACUUAGGUCUCAUGAUGAAACCUAUGUUCUACAGGUGCCUCCUGCACGACUCCCUGGGAUGUCCCCAUGCCACCUGCAGAAAGGAGAGGAACAGCACUGAAAUCAUAUGCUAGAAAACACCUCAUACAGGUGAGCUCUUGUCUGCACAGAGGAAAUCACCACUUUCAG